RNAcentral lists this ribosomal RNA (497 nucleotides) under uncultured bacterium. RNAcentral's name for it is "partial 16S ribosomal RNA". It matches the Rfam family "Bacterial small subunit ribosomal RNA", at positions 28 to 507 of the family's 1533-position model. The record is from RNAcentral.
GAUGAACGCUGGCGGCGUGCCUAAUACAUGCAAGUCGAGCGAACAGACGAGGAGCUUGCUCCUCUGACGUUAGCGGCGGACGGGAGAGUAACACGUGGAUAACCUACCUAUAAGACUGGGAUAACUUCGGGAAACCGGAGCUAAUACCGGAUAAUAUAUUGAACCGCAUGGUUCAAUAGUGAAAGACGGUUUUGCUGUCACUUAUAGAUGGAUCCGCGCCGCAUUAGCUAGUUGGUAAGGUAACGGCUUACCAAGGCAACGAUGCGUAGCCGACCUGAGAGAGUGGUCGGCCACCCUGGGAGUGAGACACGGACCAGGCUCCUACGGGAGGCAGCAGUAGGGAAUCGUCCGCAAUGGGCGAAAGCUUGACGGAGCAACGCGGCGUGAGUGAUGAAGAUCUUCGGAUCGUAAAACUCUGUUAUUAGGGAAGAACAAAUGUGUAAGUAACUAUGCACGUCUUGACGGUACCUAAUCAGAAAGCCACGGCUAACUACGUG